AAAAUGCAAGUCGAACGGCAGCACGGGAGCAAUCCUGGUGGCGAGUGGCGAACGGGUGAGUAAUACAUCGGAACGUGCCCUGUCGUGGGGGAUAACUAGUCGAAAGAUUAGCUAAUACCGCAUACGACCUGAGGGUGAAAGCGGGGGACCGUAAGGCCUCGCGCGAUAGGAGCGGCCGAUGUCUGAUUAGCUAGUUGGUGGGGUAAAGGCCCACCAAGGCGACGAUCAGUAGCUGGUCUGAGAGGACGAUCAGCCACACUGGGACUGAGACACGGCCCAGACUCCUACGGGAGGCAGCAGUGGGGAAUUUUGGACAAUGGGGGCAACCCUGAUCCAGCAAUGCCGCGUGUGUGAAGAAGGCCUUCGGGUUGUAAAGCACUUUUGUCCGGAAAGAAAUCCCUUGCCCUAAUACGGCGGGGGGAUGACGGUACCGGAAGAAUAAGCACCGGCUAACUACGUGCCAGCAGCCGCGGUAAUACGUAGGGUGCGAGCGUUAAUCGGAAUUACUGGGCGUAAAGCGUGCGCAGGCGGUUUUGUAAGACAGGCGUGAAAUCCCCGAGCUCAACUUGGGAAUGGCGCUUGUGACUGCAAGGCUAGAGUAUGUCAGAGGGGGGUAGAAUUCCACGUGUAGCAGUGAAAUGCGUAAAGAUGUGGAGGAAUACCGAUGGCGAAGGCAGCCCCCUGGGA
This 687-nucleotide ribosomal RNA is filed under the name Cupriavidus sp. PBS-E1. RNAcentral describes it as "bacterial SSU rRNA". It matches the Rfam family "Bacterial small subunit ribosomal RNA", at positions 52 to 734 of the family's 1533-position model. Lineage: Bacteria; Pseudomonadati; Pseudomonadota; Betaproteobacteria; Burkholderiales; Burkholderiaceae. The record is from RNAcentral.